RNAcentral lists this ribosomal RNA (432 nucleotides) under uncultured bacterium. Its description in RNAcentral is "partial 16S ribosomal RNA". It matches the Rfam family "Bacterial small subunit ribosomal RNA", at positions 29 to 507 of the family's 1533-position model. The record is from RNAcentral.
GCGAACGCUGGCGGCAGGCUUAACACCUGCAAGUCGAGCGGGCCUUUCGGGGUCAGCGGCGGACGGGUGAGUAACGCGUGGGAACGUGCCCUCUGGUUCGGAAUAACUCAGGGAAACUUGAGCUAAUACCGGAUACGCCCUUUUGGGGAAAGGCUUGCUGCCGGAGGAUCGGCCCGCGUCUGAUUAGCUAGUUGGUGAGGUAACGGCUCACCAAGGCGACGAUCAGUAGCUGGUCUGAGGGGAUGAUCAGCCACACUGGGACUGAGACACGGCCCAGACUCCUACGGGAGGCAGCAGUGGGGAAUAUUGGACAAUGGGCGCAAGCCUGAUCCAGCCAUGCCGCGUGAGUGAUGAAGGCCUUAGGGUUGUAAAGCUCUUUUAUCCGGGACGAUAAUGACGGUACCGGAGGAAUAAGCCCCGGCUAACUUCGUG